CAGCAAGGCACCACCCUGACCCGAGGAAGGUCUUCUUGGACCUAGCUCUCAUGCCUUCCGCUCCAGUGGGAGCCUGACUCCUCUUCACGGGAUCAGUGAAGGUGGGGCUGGCAGGGCCUCAGCACCUGUCCACCACCGGCAUGGCACCUGGCCCUCUCUGGCUCUGAAGGCUCCUUUUAACAUCACAUAUGUCAGAACUCAUUCGUUCAGUAUCCUUUGAGAGCAUAUAUUUUUACUAUGAAUUCAGCACUAUUUUGAAAUAGAAUUGCAUUUUAUAAUCACACGCAUUUGGAAAAGGUAACUCGUAUAUAUGAAACACAUACUAUUUAUUCAAUCUGCGGACCUUUGUGCACACUUGGAUGCUUGGAACCCUUGUACUAACGCAACACCGCCCUAACGGAGGGAGGCCCUUCAGCCUCAGGUCUCAAACUGCUGCCAACCAGCCUCUUCCCCUGUUGGACGCCUCUGUGUCUUGGGCAGGGCUCACCCUCCCCAGCUGAGACUCCCCGCUGCACGGACCCUCUGAGGGCUGUCACCACCAGUCUUCCCUGCCUUUGUGUCCAUCACAUUCAGUCCUGGCAGGCCUUCAACGGAUGUGACCAGAACUGAAAUGAGUUUGCUCUCGUCUGGCCUUCCGGGAUGCAAAGCACCAGCCCUGAUCAGCCUGCCCUCACUCUCUCUGUUCAUGCAAUGAACAGUUAUUGAGCACUUACUGUUUACCAAGCAUGGUCCUAGGCACCAGGAAUGCAGUAGUGUACAAAACAGAUGAAGUCCCAGCUCUUCUAGAGCUCACCUUCCAGUGGGGGACAGACAUUAAAGAAAUAAAUAUACGUUGUGUCAGACAAUGAAAGAUGCUACGAAAUAAAUGCAGCAGGAAAAGGAGGGUAGACAUGACCAGGGGGGCUAUUUCAUAGAGGGUGGUCCAAGUGGACCUGAGCAGAUACUUGAAUGCAGUGAAGGAGCAAGGCAUGCAGAUAUCUGGGUAAAGGGUGUCCUGAGCAGAGGAAACCACCAGUGCAAAGGCCCUGAGGCAGGCGUCUAAGGAACGUUUGAGGAACAGUGUGGGGCUGGCAUAGCUGAAGCAGAGUGAGGAAGGAGGAGAGGCUUCAGAGCUGAUGGGAGACAGAUCACCCAAGCCUGUAUGACGCUGAAUAAAGCUGGCUUUUUCUCUGAGAGGCGAGGUCAUUGAAGGGUUUCAGCAAAGGGGAGACACGAGUGGACCUUUAAAAGGAUGAGUCCGGCUGCUGUGCGGAGGACAGAUUACAGGGGUCAAGGGACAACAUGCUGAGACCCCCUCCACCUUCCUUACCUCCAGGACAGAAACUUGCCUUCUGGUUUUAAAUGACUCAUUUCCACAUCCCACUGAAAGAAUAAACUGAAGAAACAGUGACCACAAGACGUUACAGAGAAGAUACACAGAAGAAUAGAAGUGAAGGCGAGGCUCACCCUGAACAGGCCUGUAUCUACAUAAGAUUCCUCUGCGUGGCAGGAGCUCUCCACCGUGUUUGCGCUGAUCGUGUUUGUCUGGUGGUUCCUCCUUGAAUCCGAGGCCAUAAAUAGCAGAAAUCACACCUUGUCUCACUGGGAGAUUCCCCCAAAAAAC
Equus caballus (horse) is the source of this 1603-nucleotide long non-coding RNA. Lineage: Eukaryota; Metazoa; Chordata; Mammalia; Perissodactyla; Equidae. The record is from Ensembl.